Molecule: ribosomal RNA, 400 nt
Filed under: uncultured bacterium
Lineage: Bacteria
Description: bacterial SSU rRNA
Rfam family: Bacterial small subunit ribosomal RNA
Source: RNAcentral
UCGAGAAUCAUUCGCAAUGGGCGCAAGCCUGACGGUGCGACGUCGCGUGGAGGAUGAAGGUCUUCGGAUUGUAAACUCCUGUCAUGUGGGAUAAAUGGCUGGAUGACGAAUAGUCAUUCGGAAUGAUAGUACCACAGGAGGAAGAGACGGCUAACUCUGUGCCAGCAGCCGCGGUAAUACAGAGGUCUCGAGCGUUGUUCGGAUUUACUGGGCGUAAAGGGAGCGUAGGCGGUUCGGUAUGUCGAAUGUGAAAGCCCACAACUUAACUGUGGAAUGGCAUUCGAAACUACCGGGCUAGAGUACUGGAGAGGAGAGCGGAAUUCUUGGUGUAGCGGUGAAAUGCGUAGAUAUCAAGAGGAACACCGGUGGCGAAGGCGGCUCUCUGGACAGAUACUGACGC